CAGUAGCCGCGGUAAUACGUAGGGUGCAAGCGUUAAUCGGAAUUACUGGGCGUAAAGCGUGCGCAGGCGGUGUUGUAAGACUGAUGUGAAAUCCCCGGGCUCAACCUGGGGACUGCGCUUGUGACUGCACAGCUAGAGUAUGGCAGAGGGGGGUGGAAUUCCACGUGUAGCAGUGAAAUGCGUAGAGAUGUGGAGGAACACCGAUGGCGAAGGCAGCCCCCUGGGCCAAUACUGACGCUCAUGCACGAAAGCGUGGGGAGCAAACAGGAUUAGAUACCCCGGUAGUCCCUGUCUCUUAUAC
Molecule: ribosomal RNA, 301 nt
Filed under: uncultured bacterium
Lineage: Bacteria
Description: partial 16S ribosomal RNA
Rfam family: Bacterial small subunit ribosomal RNA
Source: RNAcentral